RNAcentral lists this ribosomal RNA (254 nucleotides) under uncultured bacterium. Its description in RNAcentral is "partial 16S ribosomal RNA". It matches the Rfam family "Bacterial small subunit ribosomal RNA", at positions 524 to 776 of the family's 1533-position model. The record is from RNAcentral.
UACGUAGGGUGCAAGCGUUGUCCGGAAUUAUUGGGCGUAAAGAGCUCGUAGGCGGUUUGUCGCGUCUGCUGUGAAAACGCGAGGCUCAACCUCGCGCCUGCAGUGGGUACGGGCAGACUAGAGUGCGGUAGGGGAGAUUGGAAUUCCUGGUGUAGCGGUGGAAUGCGCAGAUAUCAGGAGGAACACCGAUGGCGAAGGCAGAUCUCUGGGCCGUAACUGACGCUGAGGAGCGAAAAGCGUGGGGAGCGAACAGG